GGGGAAUUUUGGACAAUGGGCGCAAGCCUGAUCCAGCCAUGCCGCGUGAGUGAAGAAGGCCUUCGGGUUGUAAAGCUCUUUCGGCGGGGAAGAAAUGGCAACGGCUAAUAUCCGUUGUUGAUGACGGUACCCGCAUAAGAAGCACCGGCUAACUACGUGCCAGCAGCCGCGGUAAUACGUAGGGCGCGAGCGUUAAUCGGAAUUACUGGGCGUAAAGCGUGCGCAGGCGGUUGUGUAAGUCAGAUGUGAAAUCCCCGGGCUCAACCUGGGAACUGCAUUUGAGACUGCACGGCUAGAGUGUGACAGAGGGGGGUAGAAUUCCACGUGUAGCAGUGAAAUGCGUAGAGAUGUGGAGGAAUACCGAUGGCGAAGGCAGCCCCCUGGGUUACUACUGACGCUCAUGCACGAAAGCGUGGGGAGCAAAC
RNAcentral lists this ribosomal RNA (425 nucleotides) under uncultured bacterium. RNAcentral describes it as "bacterial SSU rRNA". It matches the Rfam family "Bacterial small subunit ribosomal RNA", at positions 356 to 773 of the family's 1533-position model. The record is from RNAcentral.